Molecule: transfer RNA, 68 nt
Filed under: Cetonurus globiceps (globehead grenadier)
Lineage: Eukaryota; Metazoa; Chordata; Actinopteri; Gadiformes; Macrouridae
Description: tRNA-Ser
Source: RNAcentral
AAGAAAGGCCCGAUGGCAGCGUAAACUGCUAAUUAACGUCCCCUUGGUUGGACCCCAAGGCUUUCUUG